RNAcentral lists this ribosomal RNA (199 nucleotides) under uncultured bacterium. RNAcentral describes it as "partial 16S ribosomal RNA". It matches the Rfam family "Bacterial small subunit ribosomal RNA", at positions 328 to 539 of the family's 1533-position model. The record is from RNAcentral.
ACGCUCGACACCUACGGGAGGCAGCAGUGGGGAAUAUUGCACAAUUGGAGGAAACUCUGAUGCAGCGAUGCCGCGUGAGGGAAGAAGGUUUUCGGAUUGUAAACCUCUGUCUUUGGGGACGAUAAUGACGGUACCCAAGGAGGAAGCUCCGGCUAACUACGUGCUAGCAGCCGCGGUAAUCUGAGCGGGCUGGCAAGGC